GUAACGCGUGGAGAACCUGCCGUAUACUGGGGGAUAACACUUAGAAAUAGGUGCUAAUACCGCAUAAGCGCACAGCUUCGCAUGAAGCAGUGUGAAAAACUCCGGUGGUAUACGAUGGAUCCGCGUCUGAUUAGCUGGUUGGCGGGGUAAAGGCCCACCAAGGCGACGAUCAGUAGCCGGCCUGAGAGGGUGAACGGCCACAUUGGGACUGAGACACGGCCCAAACUCCUACGGAAGGCAGCAG
Molecule: ribosomal RNA, 244 nt
Filed under: uncultured bacterium
Lineage: Bacteria
Description: partial 16S ribosomal RNA
Rfam family: Bacterial small subunit ribosomal RNA
Source: RNAcentral